Molecule: ribosomal RNA, 253 nt
Filed under: uncultured bacterium
Lineage: Bacteria
Description: partial 16S ribosomal RNA
Rfam family: Bacterial small subunit ribosomal RNA
Source: RNAcentral
UACAGAGGGUGCAAGCGUUGCUCGGAAUUAUUGGGCGUAAAGGGCAGGUAGGUGGUCUCAUUUGUCAGAGGUGAAAGCCUUGGGCUUAACCCAAGAAGUGCCUCUGAAACGGUGAGACUAGAGUGCUAGAGAGGAUCGCGGAAUACCCGGUGUAGCGGUGAAAUGCGUAGAGAUCGGGUGGAACAUCAGAGGCGAAGGCGGCGAUCUGGAUAGAUACUGACACUCAACUGCGAAAGCGUGGGUAGCAAACAGG